This 69-nucleotide transfer RNA is filed under the name Caudoviricetes sp. Its description in RNAcentral is "tRNA-Asn". It matches the Rfam family "tRNA". Rfam says of the family: Transfer RNA (tRNA) molecules are approximately 80 nucleotides in length. Lineage: Duplodnaviria; Heunggongvirae; Uroviricota; Caudoviricetes. The record is from RNAcentral.
GUAGUUCAACGGUUAGAACGGGUGGCUGUUAACCACUUGAUGGAGGUUCGAUUCCUUCCUUUCCCGCCA